RNAcentral lists this long non-coding RNA (3395 nucleotides) under Sus scrofa (pig). RNAcentral's name for it is "lncRNA (ENSSSCG00045028828.1)". Lineage: Eukaryota; Metazoa; Chordata; Mammalia; Artiodactyla; Suidae. The record is from RNAcentral.
AAGACAACCAUUUAUUAAGUGCAAACCAUGCUGCAAUUUUUUAAAAUUUAAAGAAACAAAGGACAGGAGUUCCCGUUGUGGCUCAGUGGAGACGAACCUGACUGGUAUCCAUGAGGAUGUGGGCUCGAUCCCUGGCCUUGCUCAGUGGGUUAAGGAUCCCGUGGUGUGACUGUGGCCUAGGCUGGUAGCUGCAGCUCCAAUGUGACCCCUCGCCUGGGCACUUCCAUAGUCUGGCCAUAAAAAGCAAAAUAAAACAAAAUAAAAAUUAAAAAAAUAAAAUGGGACCAAAAAAUUGAGUGAAGAACCUUUGAACACACCAACAAACACAUGGAAAAGGAAAAUAGAAAACAGCAAUGUCAAAUAAAAAAUAACUUAUUUAAAAUAACGGGAACAAAGAAAAGUCUAUCUGUCAGUACACUAAAUGUGAAUGGAUUUGUUUUCUUAUUUAAAAAAAAAAAGACCCUUCCAUGAAGCAUAAAAAGUAAACCUGCUUAUGCUCUCUACACAAUUUAACUUCAGGAGACGAAUAAAGGCUGAAAAUGAAGAUUCCAGGUAAAGAGUCAUAAAAAUAGGACUGGAAGGAUAGCAUCAGACCCACUGAAAACAAGGGUAAAAGAAGUAAAAUCAAGAGGAAGAUGAACAUUAGGAGCCGAUUCAAGCCCGAUUUACGAAAGAUAAAAGUUUUCAAUCAACCUGCGCUUUGAGCAUCUCAUACAAGAUUUUAUAAGGAUUUGAGAUUUAGGGAAAACCAACAUUAGCAGUUACACCUUCGAGACCUGGACAGAUCCAACAGAGAAGGUGGGGAUGAGACAAAAGCUCAGGGGUCGGCGUGAGACUCCAGGGGACGGGAGCAGCUCCGGAGCCUGACCCCGUGGUGGUGACUCCGGCUGGAGUUGACAGACGCAGCACGAAGGUACCUGUGAAACCCGGCAAAAUCCAAACACUGCCUGCAGUUUAUACCGUCGUCAGCCCCCUCGCUGGACUGCCCUCCGGCUCCGUGAGACGUUUUCACCGAAGGAAGCUGUGUGAAGUCCACACGGGAGCUCUCUGGACUGUUUUUGCAACCUAUUUAGAAUAAAUAAUUUUAUUCUAAAAUUAUUUGGAGUAAAAAGGUCUUUUUAAAAUAUAGCACAAAAACCUUACCUAAUAAAUAUAAGCAUAUAAUCUCUUGAGCCAAGCGUAUUCAUCCUUGUAUGUUCAUGGGACAUUUAAAUCUUAGCAAACUUUGAAAAGCAGAGAUUUAAAGGCUCCAUUGACUAACCAUGGUCAGUGGCCAACAAACGCUCAAUUCUUGUUCAUUAAGAGAUACAUUCCUAUGAAAGAGCGGAUCAAGGAAAAGUGCAAAUCGCCUUGGAAGCAAUGAAGAAGGAAGUACUUUCUAAUAAAACCCAUGGGGAGCUCCCCCUGUGGCGCAGGAUGUUAAGAAUCUGACUGCAAAAAGAAUCUCUUUCUCUCUCUCUCUCUCCACACACACACACACAUAUAUAAAACUGGGUCACUUUGCUAUACAACAGAAACUGACAGAACAUUGUAAAUCAACCAUAAUAAAAAUAAAUACUCAAAAAUAAUAUUGAAAAAACAAGGCUAACAAAAAAAAAAAAACCCGACUGUUGUGGCCUGGGUCGCAGUGGAGGUGUGGGUUCACUCCCUGGCCCCGCACAGUGGGUUAAAGGAGCCGGCAUUGUUGCAGCUGCGGCGAAGGUCAGGUGGCUGUGGCUGUGGCUCAGAUGCAGUUCCCGGCCGGGCAUUUCCAGGUGCUGCGGGUGCAGCCGUAAAAAAGAACAAGAACAAGAACAACGAAACCUCGUGGGACAGAGUGAAAGCCGUGUUCAGAAAAAUAAAUAAAUAAAUAAAAGGGUAACUAAUCCCUCCUCUUGGAACAUGAGCAAAGGCAGCGGGAAGAACCACGGCGGAUCUGGGCGUCAGCCCACGCCAAAGCCAACACGGCCAAGCCCAAGUUUCACUGCUGCUGGCAGAUGGCGUAGGACCCAGGGCCAGAGACCGAGGCCCAUGUGACUCAGCCGAGCAGAGAGCACGGCCCCUGGUUCCCACCAGGACCCCCUGUUCCCAAGUCCAAGGCAGUGCCGGCUGGGCUGGGGCGGGGGGCACGCACGGGUCAUGGCUGAGGAAGAGGAGCCCCAGUUUACAAGCCCCGAUCUUUAAAGGCACUCUCAGUGAGCCCACCCACACUUUGCCUCGCUUUUCUUUUUGUUUUUGUCGCUUCAUAGGGCCGUCCCUGCGGCAUAUGGAGGCCAGAUUGGAGCUACAGCUGCUGGCCUACACCACAGCUGCAGCUGGGAACGUGGGUUCCAGCUGUGUCUACAACCUACACCACAGCUCAAGGCAAUGCGGGAUCCCUGACCCACUGAGUGAGGCCAGGGAUUGAAUCCGCAUCCUUGUGGAUACUGGUCAGGUUUGUUUCCCCUGUGCCAUGAUGGGAACUCCAACUUUGCUGUUAUUUUCAACCUGCUGGUCAGCAAUCAACUUCGUCCUUUGCCUCGGAGGGGACCACGUCUCCAUCUUUGAAAGGCUGUUUGGUCCCGAACACUCCUGAAAAGGUAGAACAGAAGCUGUCACUACUUCCGCUCAGAUAUUCAGAAAUGUGAGAGCCUCGCAGACUAACAGCUCCCAACAAGGACACAAAUGAGAAACUUGGGAGGGAAAUAAACUGAAAUGCAUGAAAUAUAUUUUUCAAAAUCCAUGAAUUCAUCAUGAUAACUUAAAAAAAAAAUCACUGGUUUCCUUUGAAGGAAGCUGGGUCAUGACAUUGAAAACUGGUAAACGCAGAAAAUUAGCACUUACCGCCUGUCCAACACAACGGUUCACACAGCUGACAUGAACAGGGCUCCAGGGAUAAGUACCAGGGACUGUCAAGCUUGUCCCCCCACCCGACCCCACCCGAAGUCUGGAACCUGGGAGGGGGUUACGGACGGCUGCUGGGACCAGUGAGGAUGACGGUGGACCCGUCAUGGGUGUGUUGGGACGAGUCUGGUGCCGAGGCAAGAGACACCCUGAGAUUUCGCGUUUGCUCUGAUGUCGAGUGACAGGAAGCACGGCCUCUGGUGGGUGUUUCCGAGCCACGAUCCUGCUUGUGGGUUGACCUUUCUCCCCUCAAAGGUAGGUUCAAGUCUUAACUCCCAGGGCCUCUGGACGUGGUUUACGAAUGGGUUUGCUGGAUAAUUCGAUGUGAACCAACAAUGGCCUGCUGCCUGGCUCCAGCCCAGCUCCUGCCAGGGCGAAGGGCAGACAGGGCGGAGAAGCUGGCCUACCGCCUCUGUGCACAGAUGUGUGGGCAGUGCUGGGUGGCUGGGCUCCUCAGUGGGGGUCUGGAAGGGGCGAGAUGGGAUGAGGGGUUGCCAGGGAGUAGGGAAGGGCCUGUGAUCCCCUCUCAAUCU